AUCACUUGAAGCUCCAUCCUCUCAUUCUCUCACUCUCGAGACCUCGAACGGCACAGUGCUGAUUUUCGAAUCAUCGCCGGAGCUGCGAAUGAAAAGAAUCGACAACUCACGUAUAUUUCAUUUUUCUUGUCUGAAUUUAAUUUUUGUUCUUGUCUGUUUAGUUCUGAUUUUCGAAGUUAAUGCUUCAUCAUUUUUCAUAUUGUAUGCUAUUAAUUAUUGGAGUAGAAAUAAAUAGAUUUGUAUUCGCUAGCAUUAUGGUUUGCCAAUUACACAAUGGAUGAAUGCAGAUUCCCAAUUUUGUGCUCUAUUUUAUGAAAUAUAAGUCUAUUUCUUGAGAGACAUAUAUGAAAAUUGGAAUGAGAGACUAAUUAGUUGUAUCUCUUAA
Non-coding RNA from Camellia sinensis, 385 nucleotides. Lineage: Eukaryota; Viridiplantae; Streptophyta; Magnoliopsida; Ericales; Theaceae. The record is from RefSeq and is a predicted model, not a curated record.